CGGGGGCAGCACGAGGAAGACCCCGGACCUCGUCCCUAGCACUUAUCCAAAGGGUGCUGGAGCGCCCCGGCCGGGCGCCGUGCCCCCAGCCCUCCCGCCCCGAUCACAGCACCGUGGGGCGGGGGGCGCGGGGAGAGACCCCUGGCCCCGGCCGGGCUGUCCCCAUGCCCCAUGCAGCACUUAGGGACAGCGCAGGGUUGGACACGCCCUGGCCAGAGGACUCGGGAUGCUCAGCACUUGUCCCCUGCUCCACGCACCCCCUCCCAAGCGCUUACAAGGACGAGGCUGCCCUGAAGCCCCCCCAAGCACUUAGGGCCCCGGAGCGCGCGGGGUUCCCAGAGCUCGGCGGCCGCUCUCUGGCCUCAGCGGCAUGAGGGAAGCGGCGUGGGGCUGGAUACAGCCUGUGGGAUCCGCCAGCGCCGACACCAACCCGGCUGCGGGGCGGGAGGUUGGUGCCGCAGCCCCAAUCCCUGCUCUUCAGUGCCUUUGGGGGCUGCCAGCGCCGCCUCCGGAGCCGGCAGGGGGAUGGGGUGUGGAAGCAGCGUCCCGCAGCACCUGGGGGGCUCGUCCUGGAGAGGUGGCACUCGGGGCGUUUUGACAGUCCCCAUCGCAGCUGCACCCAGCGCCGGCCAUCGCCACCUUGCCCCUCCGCAUACGACACCGCUGGAUGCGGCCGCCGAUCAAGGACGCGCUCGGGCGGAGGAGUGGCAGCACCCAGAGCCGGGCGCCGGAAAAAAAGCCAAAAUCCGCUUUGGAGUGAACCGGGAAGGGCGCGGGGCCAGCGCGCUCCAAUGCUCAUCCACGGCCGCCAGCACAGCCUUGAGCCCCGCGCAGCCACGUGCCACCACGCUCGGCCCAACACGGAGGCACCCUGGGCACCGCUCACGGUGCUGCCCAUGAGACGCAGGGCACGAAAGGUGGCGGCACCGGCGCGGCCGAGCCCGGAGCCACGCGAGGCAGCGGAUGGGGACCACGGCCCCGAACCCCGGCCCUGCUCCCACAAAAGCCCCCGUGCCCACCGGGGUGCCGCGGCAGGCAGGUGGCGCCGGAGAAGAACUGGGACCAGUGCCCCGUGCUGACUGGUCCCAGCGCCGGACCGAGGGCAGCAGGCUGGGCGGCGCAGCCCCAGCAGGGCUCCGGACGACGACACCCGAGGCUUUACUUGCAGUGCCCGUUUAUUUUCCGCCCUGGGGGGACACGCGGGCAGGCUUCAGCCUCCGUACGGGCACGCUGCGCCCCUGGGAGGAGGAUGCAGCGUGGCCACCGCUCACCCAUGGGAGAAUCGCGCACGGAUGCGGCCGAGCAGGAGCCGAAAGCAGCGGGCACGCCGGCGUCCCUGCAAAAAGUAAAAUAAUAAUAAUAUUUUGGGAGAAGCGACAGGAAAGGCAAAAAAAAAAAAAAGCUCAGUGAUCGUCUCAGUUACUGUGUUGUAUAAAUCACGUUCGUUUUGUAUCUUGCGUUAGUCUCUGGUGUGUAUGCUAACCGUUGCUUCUGUCCCAGUUCCUUCCUUUUUUUUUUUUUUUUUUAGACUUUUUGUACAAUAAAAAAUUUAUAUAGCCAAAAAGAAGAGAGGAA
Molecule: long non-coding RNA, 1575 nt
Filed under: Anser cygnoides (Swan goose)
Lineage: Eukaryota; Metazoa; Chordata; Aves; Anseriformes; Anatidae
Description: lncRNA (ENSACDG00005013056.1)
Source: RNAcentral